RNAcentral lists this non-coding RNA (844 nucleotides) under Caenorhabditis japonica. RNAcentral describes it as "Eukaryotic small subunit ribosomal RNA". It matches the Rfam family "Eukaryotic small subunit ribosomal RNA", at positions 1 to 889 of the family's 1831-position model. Lineage: Eukaryota; Metazoa; Nematoda; Chromadorea; Rhabditida; Rhabditidae. The record is from Rfam by way of RNAcentral.
UACCUGAUUGAUUCUGUCAGCGCGAUAUGCUCAAGUAAAAGAUUAAGCCAUGCAUGCUUUGAUUCAUAAAUGAAAUUGCGUACGGCUCAUUAGAGCAGAUAUCACCUUUCUCGGAAUCGUGAAAAGGAUAACUGCGGAAAUUCUGGAGCUAAUACAUGCGACUAUACUCCAACGCAAGGCGGGGUGCAAUUAUUAGAACAGACCAAACGUUUUCGGACGUUGUUUGUUGACUCUGAAUACCGUCGUUUACUGUCAGUUUCGACUGACUCUAUCCGAGAAGGGUGUCUGCCCUUUCAACUAGAUGGUAAUCUAUUGGACUACCAUGGUUGUUACGGGUAACGGAGAAUUAGGGUUCGACUCCGGAGAGGGAGCCUUAGAAACGGCUACCACGUCCAAGGAAGGCAGCAGGCGCGAAACUUAUCCACUGUUGAGUAUGAGAUAGUGACUAAAAAUAUAAAGACUCAUCCUUUUGGAUGAGUUAUUUCAAUGAGUUGAAUAUAAAUUAUUCUUCGAGUAGCAAGGAGAGGGCAAGUCUGGUGCCAGCAGCCGCGGUAAUUCCAGCUCUCCUAGUGUAUCUCGUUAUUGCUGCGGUUAAAAAGCUCGUAGUUGGAUCUAGGUUACGUGCCGCAGUUCGCAAUUUGCGUUAACUGUGGUCGUGACUUCUAAUUUGCUGGUUUGAGGUUGGGUUCGCCCUUCAACUGCCAGCAGGUUUACCUUGAAUAAAUCAGAGUGCUCAAUACAGGCGCUUGCUUGAAUAGCUCAUCAUGGAAUAAUGAAACAGGACUUCGGUUCUUUUUGUUGGUUCUAGAAUUGAUCUAAUGGUUAAGAGGGACAAACCGGGGGC